AUGCAGGUAGGUGGGCCGGCCCAGACCGCAAAUAAGUGUCGGAUCCAUAUUGUGGAGCCCACAACGAUGCGCUUUCCAUGCACGUCGAUCACACGCACGUCGAUCACGGGAGUAGUUGCCGUUCUGUUACACAAUUCUGGGAUCGUGCUAAUCCAUAUGUUCCUAAUCCCUACGAUUGAGGAGCACGUUCAGCCUCGCUUCAACGGAGGAAAAUAUAGAUCGCGACAUUGGCCACAGGGAAAUCGACUCCUGCCGGCGAGGCGUCGACAGCUCCGUCCGCCGCAUCCCACACGCCACAAAAACCCCGAGAAGAUCAAGGUCGUCCGCACGUGCAGGCCGACCUCGACGAACUACGUCGAGAACGCAUCGCCGACUUCUUUCAUCUUCGUCGAUAGAUCAAGUAAAUUGUCCUCUUUCCCUCGCGCCUUCAAAAUGAAAACAUUCUUUGGUUCUUUCAUAGCAUGGAUGGACGAGCUGAAUGGAGAAAUAGUAUGCGCAACGGAGAAAUGGUGCAAGCUUGUUGCAGAUCUAUCGAGCGGUCAACGCGCUAGAGUGGCUGAUACAUCAUUGCGCAGCAUGCUGCAGAUACCAUCUAUUAAAAUGCGUACCCUGCUGAUUAGGUAUAUGAUUGAGAAUUUUCAGGCCAGCACGGGCAGAUUCAUUAUACAAGAGCAGGUUGGGGAGGUGACUCUCGGUGCGGUCGACGUCGAGUGCAUAUUUAACCUCGAGAACCAAGGACUGUCCGCUUCGGACAUUCUGACUGAAGAAGGCGAGGACAUGAAGGAGCGGGUGCCGCCACAAUUUCUCAGUAAGACAUCAGAAAACAUAGUGAUAGAUAAUCUCAUUGAGGACAUAAUUAAAAGUAAAGCCACCGAUGAUGAUUUCCUUCGCAAAGUAGUGCUGGUCCUGUUAGGAACAAUUAUUGCUCCCAUGUUGAGCAAGAUUGUGCCAAAGCAGUACUACGCUUUGGUCUACGAUGUGAAACGUAUUUCAAAGAUUAACUGGAAUGCCUUCACCAUGCGUGUUCUCCUUGAUUGCCUUCGCAUAGUGAAGAAAGGCAAACACCUGCGCCAAUGGCCGAAAGGCAAUUUGGCUCUCUUGCAGUACUUGUACUGGGAGAAGGUGCAACCGGUCCAAGGCGAAUGCGCCUAUAAUCCCAACUUGUCCAUACAACCUCUUAUGAGGAACUGGACAGAAGGUGCAGCCACUAGGAGAGAUAGGUUCGACUUUGAUAAUGGACGCGACCGUGGUAACGUAAGGAUCGAAAAUAAUAUCACCCAGGAGUAUAGGGCUCAGGAGCCCGACAUCCCAAAUAAUGCGCCUACCAUGAAGCCAAAAACCAAGCCUGCAACUGGAAACGCAAAGAAGUCCACGACAGCUGCAUUGUCGGAAAAUUUGAUGGAGCUUGUAAUGAAGCAGUGCAUGGACUUCAGACACACCGAGAUGAGGCAAAUCCCUGAUAUAGUUGCUGAGAGGUUGUUGGAGAAGUUGAACAAAGCAGGUGUCAUGUACAAGCCGGCUGCUGGCGUGCCAUCCGCGGAGAAUGAUCCGGACGAAGUGGAUUCGUUCGAGAAUGGUCCAUAUGAAAAGAAGGAAUUCGUGUACAAGGAAGACAUGGACAGUGAUGGACACCCGAUCAUUGACAUGACGCAGCCUGAUAUAGUGCUUCCCGACCAUAAAACCGUACCUGAGUUUUCGAAACUGAAAACCCCACCGAAGCUUAAUGGACACAAGGAAGCUUCACCUUUUAAGCGUAAUGAUGUAUGUGGGGCUACACCGGAAAACCCUUGGGUGGUUGGUACUUCUACUGUAGCACCUUCAUCAGACAUAGAUAUUUGUCCAUCUUCUGUCAGCAAGUUCAUGGCUAAGGCGAAUGGAAAAAAGGGUGCAACAAUCGAUAAGGAUGACGAGGUUAUGUCCGGUAAGCGGAAGCGGACCGUUCCCAAGAAAUUUGAAUCCCCCUUCGCACUUAACAAGCCCGGCAGGCGUACCAGCUGUGGUCAGAGGGCCUCUGGUACUAGUACUGCUACUAGAGCUCUAUUUUCGAACAAUAAUGUGCCAGAGGUUGUGGCAGAUGAGUUGACGCCGGAAAUAAUUGAUGCUGCUGUUUCAUUUGUCGAGUUAGCUGCUAGCACUGAGAAGAACAAGAACAAAAAAAUUUACUACAGUGAAGGCCGUGGCAUAACUCUGACUUCCGAAAGGAUUCUACCGGUACUAGGCCAUAGAUGGCUGUCGGACGAUGUUAUUGAUGCUUAUAUGGGACAUUUGGAGCUGCGUGUUGGUCAUGAUCGUUACCUCUGUCCAGCGUGGAGGUCCAAAUUCCUUGUAGAUCGUGCUAUCGCAAAUGACGAUCCAUUGCCAUCUUGCUGCAACAUGGAUAGUGCUCUGAACAAAGCUGGGGCAAUUAAUAGAGUCAUGAAAGAGUAUACUGUGCGUGAUAAGACGUAUAUCACGUUGAAUAUCGACAAUAGCCACUGGAUGACCGUGGUCAUGCACAUGAUCAAGAAAGAAUUCCAAGUUCUCGAUUCGCUCUAUCCUCUGGACCUGACUGAGAGGACUGUUAAAGCACUGCAAAGGGCUAUAGCACACGAUAUGCGUCGGGCAAAUCUUAUUACACCAGGGAAAUAUCCGGACGUAAGUAAGUGGCCUAUCAAGGAGUAUGACAUACCCCAGCAAGAGGAUGGGAACACUUGUGGCCUUUUUGUCACAGAAUGUCUAGAACAUUGGGACGGGCACAAAAUCACCCGCAAAUUUACACAGGCCACCGUUGACGCAAGGAGAAGACGUUUCGUCGCAGAGUCGAUUAUGUCACCUUCAAACACGAUGGAGUGUGUGAAGAACAAAAUUCGCGAAAUCGCAAGCAAAAGGCGCGCCUGA
RNAcentral lists this ribosomal RNA (2877 nucleotides) under Triticum aestivum (bread wheat). RNAcentral describes it as "partial small subunit ribosomal RNA". Lineage: Eukaryota; Viridiplantae; Streptophyta; Magnoliopsida; Poales; Poaceae. The record is from RNAcentral.